This is a long non-coding RNA of Helianthus annuus (common sunflower), 907 nucleotides long. RefSeq lists it as uncharacterized. Lineage: Eukaryota; Viridiplantae; Streptophyta; Magnoliopsida; Asterales; Asteraceae. The transcript has 3 exons. The record is from RefSeq and is a predicted model, not a curated record.
GCUGUCUUUUCCUUCUUUGCUUGCCGUGAUCGCCGAUUAGUCGGGAUUUGGUCCCGAAUAUGCGCAUUCCAUCUAUACGCCAGUCAAGAACCUAGACAUUUUUUACGACCCGCAUUCGGUAUCACAAAUUAAUCACAAACUGUUGCCAAAGUUCGGGAUUGAAUGUGACCACGCGUUUUCCUAUUUUACUUUCAAUCAAUCAUCAUAUCGUUACCAUUUUUGCGAAACGAAGAAACGCUAUAAAUAUCGAGACCCUCAUCAUUGCUCGACACCCUUGACCCUCAUCACCGGAGUUCUACCGGAGUAAACAACACCAUCACACGCCAUCCUCUAUCUCUCAUUAUUUCGAAGAUCGCUGGAAGAUUCGGAGGUACGAGGACGUCACCGGAGCACAAGCUGAAACACUUAUUGUUGCCGGAACCGAACGGAGAACAUGACGGGGAACGCUUCAUUUCGGUAAACAUUUCGUUUGUUUCGUUCCAUUUGGUUUUGUGUAAACCUUCUAUUGACACAUUUUGUUCCAUUCGUUUUGUGUUCACAUCGCGUUUCGAUAUAUACGCCGUAAUCGGAGUUCAUCGGAGAAACUCACCGGAGCCGAGUCGGAGGUCCAACGGAACCCAUCGUCGCCCACUGUUCCGGUUAAUCGCCCUCGUUCGUCCUCUUGGAUUUCUGUACUUGUGCGUUGUUCUACAAGAAAUCGCAACGCAAUCAAUGUUGAUAGAUGAAGAAUUCAAGAAUCAAGUUAGGGUGGAUUAGAAACACACCUAGAAAUAGACUAUGUUGGAAUCUUGUUUUGUUCAUUUGAACAUUGUAUGACAUCUUAGAAUUUAUGAAAUUGAAUUUAAAUUAUAUUGUCACAAUUAGUGUUAUGUUGUUUUGAGCAAUUUGUUCGUCUCAUCCCGAUGUU